CAGUAAGUUACACCCACAUACCUGCCAGAGCACUGAACUGGAUGUGUGGAGAUGAAUACAUCUUGCAGAGGCAUGGGCUGGCUGAAGAGCCAGGCUCCCUGCAUCCCGCACGGAUAUGGCUCAUUGGUACCCUGCUCGUCCCUGCCAGCCCAGGAUGUGGAAAGAGACAUGGGAGAAACCCUCCUGACUCCCUGUUCCCUAUCCUACCUCUGACCCAGGAUACACAGAACCACUGCCCUCUGCUCCUUCCCACUGUUCUGGGAGCUCUCUCCUCUGCGAGGCUUUCCUGGAACCUGAUUGGCGAAGACCGUUUCUCCUGAGCUCUUUUCUCUGAGACAUCACCAUAGAUGGCUAUGAGUCAAGUGCCCCCAUCAACCAUUCCUGCUCUGCCUGGGGGCUUGGAGUCCCUUCUGAUGGACGAAUGGGUAUUGACUCAACUGGCUUUGUAUGCUGGGCACCACUUUGCAAACAGCUUACAGGAUGGACUGCAGUCCUCACAACGAUCUUCAAAGCACGCUCGGAGUUGUGGCCCUACGGGGACCCGGUGAAUUCAGCUGCCUGUAUGAGGUGAUGUUGUUUUGCCUUAAAUGGUCCCCUAGCCUCUCCCAAAGACCCCUCCUUACUCUUCCCAAGAAUGUCCCAAUUCCUUUCCCACUUGUGCCACUCAUUUUCAAGAGAGGAGAUGGCCCAGCCCUCUUCUCUUCCCCACCUCCCUCCCCCAAACUGUGUGACCCUCAGCACCCAGGGCUCAGGGGGCUGCCAGAGAUGGAGAGGAGGCAAACCCAAGCCAGC
This 792-nucleotide long non-coding RNA is filed under the name Homo sapiens (human). RNAcentral describes it as "HSALNT0390535". The record is from RNAcentral. Lineage: Eukaryota; Metazoa; Chordata; Mammalia; Primates; Hominidae.